This 424-nucleotide ribosomal RNA is filed under the name uncultured bacterium. RNAcentral's name for it is "bacterial SSU rRNA". It matches the Rfam family "Bacterial small subunit ribosomal RNA", at positions 355 to 775 of the family's 1533-position model. The record is from RNAcentral.
UGAGGAAUAUUGGUCAAUGGGCGCAAGCCUGAACCAGCCAUCCCGCGUGCAGGAAGACGGCGCUAUGCGUUGUAAACUGCUUUUCCAGGGGGAGAAACUUGCGCACGUGUUGCGCAAUUGACGGUACCCUGGGAAUAAGCAUCGGCUAACUCCGUGCCAGCAGCCGCGGUAAUACGGAGGAUGCGAGCGUUAUCCGGAUUCAUUGGGGUUAAAGGGUGCGUAGGCGGACUAUUAAGUCAGUGGUGAAAUCCUGCAGCUUAACUGCAGAACUGCCAUUGAUACUGAUAGACUUGAGUUUGGUUAAGGUAGGCGGAAUGUGUAAUGUAGCGGUGAAAUGCUUAGAUAUUACACAGAACACCAAUUGCGUAGGCAGCUUACUGAGCCGACACUGACGCUGAGGCACGAAAGCGUGGGGAUCGAACAG